This 2893-nucleotide ribosomal RNA is filed under the name Shewanella algae. Its description in RNAcentral is "23S ribosomal RNA". It matches the Rfam family "Bacterial large subunit ribosomal RNA". The record is from RNAcentral. Lineage: Bacteria; Pseudomonadati; Pseudomonadota; Gammaproteobacteria; Alteromonadales; Shewanellaceae.
GGUUAAGCGACCAAGCGUAUACGGUGGAUGCCUUGGCAGUCAGAGGCGAUGAAGGACGUAGUAACUUGCGAAAAGCGUUGGUGAGCUAGUAACAAGCAUUUGAGCCAGCGAUGUCCGAAUGGGGAAACCCGGCAGCAUAAGCUGUCAUCAAUACGUGAAUACAUAGCGUAUUGAGGCGAACGAGGGGAACUGAAACAUCUAAGUACCCUUAGGAAAAGAAAUCAACCGAGAUUCCCCAAGUAGCGGCGAGCGAACGGGGAUUAGCCCUUAAGUCUUUGGGGUGUUAGUGGAAUGUGUUGGAAAGCACAGCGGCACAGGGUGAUAGCCCCGUACACGUAAACUAACCAGAGAUGAAAUCGAGUAAGGCGGCACACGUGAUAUGUUGUCUGAAUAUGGGGGGACCAUCCUCCAAGGCUAAAUACUCCUGACUGACCGAUAGUGAACCAGUACCGUGAGGGAAAGGCGAAAAGAACCCCUGUGAGGGGAGUGAAAUAGAACCUGAAACCGUAUACGUACAAGCAGUGGAAGCGGUCCUUGAGACCGUGACUGCGUACCUUUUGUAUAAUGGGUCAGCGACUUACAUUUAGUAGCGAGGUUAAGCGAAUAGCGGAGCCGUAGGGAAACCGAGUGUUAACUGCGCGUAUAGUUGCUAGGUGUAGACCCGAAACCCGGUGAUCUAGCCAUGGGCAGGUUGAAGGUUGAGUAACAUCAACUGGAGGACCGAACCGACUAAUGUUGAAAAAUUAGCGGAUGACUUGUGGCUGGGGGUGAAAGGCCAAUCAAACCGGGAGAUAUCUGGUUCUCCUCGAAAGCUAUUUAGGUAGCGCCUCGGACGAACACCUUUGGGGGUAGAGCACUGUUAAGGCUAGGGGGUCAUCCCGACUUACCAACCCUUUGCAAACUCCGAAUACCAAAGAGUGCUAUCCGGGAGACAGACGGCGGGUGCUAACGUCCGUCGUCAAAAGGGAAACAACCCAGACCGUCAGCUAAGGUCCCAAAGUAAUUGCUAAGUGGGAAACGAUGUGGGAAGGCUUAGACAGCUAGGAUGUUGGCUUAGAAGCAGCCAUCAUUUAAAGAAAGCGUAAUAGCUCACUAGUCGAGUCGGCCUGCGCGGAAGAUGUAACGGGGCUAAGCAAUUCACCGAAGCUACGGGUACUGAUGCUUGCAUCAGUGCGGUAGAGGAGCGUUCUGUAAGCCGUUGAAGGCGAAGGGGUAACCCACGCUGGAGGUAUCAGAAGUGCGAAUGCUGACAUGAGUAACGAUAAAGGGGGUGAAAAACCCCCUCGCCGAAAGACCAAGGGUUCCUGUCCAACGUUAAUCGGGGCAGGGUGAGUCGACCCCUAAGGCGAGGCUGAAAGGCGUAGUCGAUGGGAAACGGGUUAAUAUUCCCGUACUUCUGCUAACUGCGAUGGAGAGACGGAGAAGGCUAGGCCGGCGCGGCGUUGGUAGUCCGCGUUUAAGGUAGUAGGUGGUGUGCUUAGGCAAAUCCGGGCACACAUACACUGAGAGCUGACGACGAGUCCCUAAGGGGAUGAAGUGGUUGAUGCCAUGCUUCCAGGAAAAUCUUCUAAGCUUCAGGUUAGCAGGAAUCGUACCCCAAACCGACACAGGUGGUCGGGUAGAGAAUACCAAGGCGCUUGAGAGAACUCGGCUGAAGGAACUAGGCAAAAUGGUACCGUAACUUCGGGAGAAGGUACGCUCCUGUUGGUGACGAGACUUGCUCUCAGAGCUGACGGGAGUCGCAGAUACCAGGUGGCUGCAACUGUUUAUCAAAAACACAGCACUGUGCAAAAUCGCAAGAUGACGUAUACGGUGUGACGCCUGCCCGGUGCCGGAAGGUUAAUUGAUUGGGUUAUCUUCGGAGAAGCUCAUGAUCGAAGCCCCGGUAAACGGCGGCCGUAACUAUAACGGUCCUAAGGUAGCGAAAUUCCUUGUCGGGUAAGUUCCGACCUGCACGAAUGGCGUAAUGAUGGCCACGCUGUCUCCAGCCGAGACUCAGUGAAGUUGAAAUUGCGGUGAAGAUGCCGUAUACCCGCGGCUAGACGGAAAGACCCCGUGAACCUUUACUAUAGCUUGGCACUGAACAUUGACCCUACAUGUGUAGGAUAGGUGGGAGACUAUGAAGAUGAGACGCCAGUCUUGUUGGAGUCAACCUUGAAAUACCACCCUUGUAGUGUUGAUGUUCUAACCUGGGCCCCUAAUCGGGGUUAGGGACAGUGCCUGGUGGGUAGUUUGACUGGGGCGGUCUCCUCCCAAAGAGUAACGGAGGAGCACGAAGGUUGGCUAAGUACGGUCGGACAUCGUACGGUUAGUGUAAUGGCAUAAGCCAGCUUAACUGCGAGACAGACACGUCGAGCAGGUGCGAAAGCAGGUCAUAGUGAUCCGGUGGUUCUGAAUGGAAGGGCCAUCGCUCAACGGAUAAAAGGUACUCCGGGGAUAACAGGCUGAUACCGCCCAAGAGUUCAUAUCGACGGCGGUGUUUGGCACCUCGAUGUCGGCUCAUCACAUCCUGGGGCUGAAGUCGGUCCCAAGGGUAUGGCUGUUCGCCAUUUAAAGUGGUACGCGAGCUGGGUUCAGAACGUCGUGAGACAGUUCGGUCCCUAUCUGCCGUGGGCGUUGGAUGAUUGAGGGGAGCUGCUCCUAGUACGAGAGGACCGGAGUGGACGAACCGCUGGUGUUCGGGUUGUCAUGCCAAUGGCAUUGCCCGGUAGCUACGUUCGGAAUCGAUAACCGCUGAAAGCAUCUAAGCGGGAAGCGAGCCCCAAGAUGAGUCAUCCCUAGGGCCUAGAGCCCUCUGAAGAGCCGUUCGAGACCAGGACGUUGAUAGGCAGGGUGUGUAAGCGUUGCGAGGCGUUGAGCUAACCUGUACUAAUGACUCGAGAGGCUUAACCAU